UACGGAGGGUGCGAGCGUUGUCCGGAAUCACUGGGCGUAAAGGGCGCGUAGGCGGCUUUUUAAGGGUGCGGUGAAAGCCCGGGGCUUAACCCCGGGUCGGCCGUGCCGACUGAAAAGCUGGAGCACUGUAGAGGCAGGUGGAGUUCCGGGUGUAGCGGUGGAAUGCGUAGAGAUCCGGAAGAACACCAGUGGCGAAGGCGGCCUGCUGGGCAGUUGCUGACGCUGAGGCGCGACAGCGUGGGGAGCAAACAGG
Molecule: ribosomal RNA, 253 nt
Filed under: uncultured bacterium
Lineage: Bacteria
Description: partial 16S ribosomal RNA
Rfam family: Bacterial small subunit ribosomal RNA
Source: RNAcentral